GGGUCGUUAGCUCAGUUGGUAGAGCAGUUGACUUUUAAUCAAUUGGUCGCAGGUUCGAAUCCUGCACGACC
This 71-nucleotide transfer RNA is filed under the name Escherichia coli. RNAcentral's name for it is "partial tRNA-Lys". It matches the Rfam family "tRNA". Rfam says of the family: Transfer RNA (tRNA) molecules are approximately 80 nucleotides in length. Their secondary structure includes four short double-helical elements and three loops (D, anti-codon, and T loops). The record is from RNAcentral. Lineage: Bacteria; Pseudomonadati; Pseudomonadota; Gammaproteobacteria; Enterobacterales; Enterobacteriaceae. RNAcentral also lists the same sequence under 5 other names.